UGGGCGCAAGCCUGAUCCAGCAAUGCCGCGCGCAGGAUGAAGGCCUUCGGGUUGUAAACUGCUUUUGUACGGAACGAAAAGGAUCUUUUUAAUAAAGAGGGCUCAUGACUGUACCGUAAGAAUAAGCUCCGGCUAACUACGUGCCAGCAGCCGCGGUAAUACGUAGGGUGCGAGCGAUAAUCGGAAUUACUGGGCGUAAAGAGUGCGCAGGCGGUUUUGUAAGACAGAUGUGAAAUCCCCGGGCUCAACCUGGGACCUGCAUUUGUGACUGCAAGGCUAAAGUACGGUAGAGGGGGAUGGAAUACCGCGUGUAGSAGUGAAAUGCGUAGAUAUGCGGAGGAACACCGAUGGCGAAGGCAAUCCCCAGGACCUGUACUGACGCUCAUGCACGAAAGCGUGGGGAGCAAACAGGAUUAGAUACCCUGGUAGUCCACGCCCUAAACGAUGUCAACUGGUUGUUGGGUCUUUACUGACUCAGUAACGAAGCUAACGCGUGAUGUUGACCGCCUGGGGAGUACGGCCGNCAGGUUG
This 531-nucleotide ribosomal RNA is filed under the name uncultured bacterium. Its description in RNAcentral is "bacterial SSU rRNA". It matches the Rfam family "Bacterial small subunit ribosomal RNA", at positions 372 to 896 of the family's 1533-position model. The record is from RNAcentral.